RNAcentral lists this long non-coding RNA (2395 nucleotides) under Mustela putorius furo (domestic ferret). RNAcentral describes it as "lncRNA (ENSMPUG00000025697.1)". Lineage: Eukaryota; Metazoa; Chordata; Mammalia; Carnivora; Mustelidae. The record is from RNAcentral.
GUGCGGGGAAAACAAACUCCAUCCGUGCCGGGUUGCCAAGUGCACUGUGCAGACAGGGCGAUGCACAUACUUUGCAGUGUAUCUGAAUAGCAAAGCCUAGACAUCAAACAGAAUGCACUAUGAUUCAAUCACAUCAAAACCAUCAGGACUUGAAAGCUAGGACAUUUUUUUUUUUUUUUUACCUCCUAUUCAUUAUGCUGCCAUAUUUCAUAAAAUAUACGGUGUUUCUGGCCAUUCACUUGAGAUUCAAUUGUAUUUUCAUUUGCCACUGCGAUUUAGACUAUUGAAAUAGCAAAUGGAAAAAAUACAUGCAUCCCUUUCUUUCCAGCUAUGCAGCGUUCAAUGUCAACAGAGAUGCAAUGUUGAUGGCACUGCCUUAAUUUAGUUAGUUACGCAACUUGAGGAAAAUGAAGAUGUGCACACUACUAAGCAAAGUGGUUUUUUUCUGUUCUUCUCUUGAUUUUCUAAGUCUAUGGUAGCAUAUGCAAUACAGACAGAGGAUUCUUCAAUGUACUCCCUCUAGAUUGUGCACAUAAAAUUCUAUUUUUCAAGAGUCUAAGAUAGAGCAGGAAUAGCCAAAAAGGAUAGACUUUUUUUUUUUUUUAACCUAACAGACUGGUAAAAUAUAACAAAGGAGAGAGGUUUCUGGCCUAUGUCUAACACACUUCAGGGCUUUGUACAAUAGUCUCAAGAGUAAUAAUCACCUUGCUUUAUGAAUACUUUAAAUCAUAGUAAAUGAUCUUGGGCUAUUUUCAGUAAAGCUGGAGUUUUUAAAGGUUUCCUUACAAAAUCAAAGAUAUUUAAAAAAUUAUAACUGAUCAGCGACUUACAUGUCUCAAAAUGUUAAUAUAAUAGAAAGAGAAAACAUGUGCAGAGAUUUAUGCAUGGGGAAAUACAUUUAAAUACAGUUCCAAUGUUGCCACUGCCUAGAAGCCUUUCAUGAUCAACCUUGCUGGCAAUGCUUCUCCCACCUCUGGACUCAGAUCAAGUCACUAUCUGUGCCACUAUUACGGCGCAUAUCGCAGGGCUUGGGAUUUUGUUCUCUCUAGCCCAGAGCCUAGUGGAGUGUCUGGUCCUGUGCACACAAGGCACAACUAUCAAACAAUGACUGACUGCGCUCAAGCCCACCUCCCCUCCCAGACUAUAAGGAACUUCUGCAUGGCAGGGAAAACCAACAUCAUUCACUCCUCUACCCGUACAAUUCUUCAUAAAUGUGAUACAAAAACAGCCAAUGAGACCAUGCCUGAUUGUCCACUGUCGGCUAGAAACUGCGACCAAUGCCUUCCUCCUGAGUAAUGUGAAUGCAAAACCACAGUGUUCGUCAACAUCUUUCUGGAGUCCAGACAAUGAAUGACCCCAAGACCUGUUUCUGGACUGAGCCUUGUAUUUUGCAUGCAGACUACCCUCAGGGCUACUCCUCUCUUACACACAAAAGAAUACUGACUCUUGAAAUAAAACAAUGACUGACUAAUUCAAUCACUGCCAAAUGAUGGGUCAAUAUUAAAAUGCCUUUGCUAUAUUUUUCUUUUGCGACUCAACACUACAGUCCUUAAUGCGGUAUGCUAAUAAAGGUGAACAAAUCACUUAGGAAGUAAAAAAAUUUGAUUCACUUAAAUAUUUAUCUAUAGAAAUUGUGUGUGUGUGUGUGUGUGUGUGUGUGUGUUUCCUUGGAGUGCUGAGAUUCUCCCUACCCACCUCCAGGUUCGGUAAGGCCCCACCCCCAAAGGAGCUGGUCCACGGGUUCUCCAUCAGACAUGCUAGUGGGGGGUGGGGCCUGGGGCAAGCUAUGGGCAAAAUAGGAUUUUAGUCAGAUUCAAAGAGUGACUGCUAGGAUUCCGGAUAAAUGGGGAAGUUUCUGCUCAUUUUCUUUUUUAUGUUCCCUGGUUUCAUUCCUAAAACAGUAGGAUUUUAUGCUUCCUAGGUAGGUACUAUUUGAAUGGCACUGGGAGAUAUCUCUAUUUAAAGACAUACUAAUAGGUCAUUUUUAGCAUUGCUGUAGUGUACAUGCAAUAGAAACACAAAAUAAAUAGCUUCUAGUGUGAUACAUUGUUAAAAGGGCAUUUAAAUUAAGAACUAUCAAAGAGACAUUCUCAUAUUCUAUUAACUUAAUUCUUUGGGUAAAGAAAAAUAAUUCCAUCUUUUUAUUUUAAUUCCAAAUGGCCCUUUGAUUAUUACUCUUCAAAGUCCCCAGCUGAAGGUGGAUGGCAAUGAUUAUUCCUAAUUUCCUGGUGAAGAAAAGCUGCACAAAGGAGUUCAAUUACUUUUCCAUUGUCAUAAGUGAGGAACAGAAUCAUGAAAUGAUACUUUGUCCCCUGGUCUAUGCUUUAGUCUUCAAAGCAGAAAGCUAGCACAAACCGUACUGGGAAUGUACUCAAGGUCUAGAUUUUUGUUAGGU